This 757-nucleotide ribosomal RNA is filed under the name Hyphomicrobium sp. Its description in RNAcentral is "partial 23S ribosomal RNA". It matches the Rfam family "Bacterial large subunit ribosomal RNA", at positions 494 to 1268 of the family's 2925-position model. The record is from RNAcentral. Lineage: Bacteria; Pseudomonadati; Pseudomonadota; Alphaproteobacteria; Hyphomicrobiales; Hyphomicrobiaceae.
AACAGUACCGCGAGGGAAAGGUGAAAAGAACCCCGGGAGGGGAGUGAAAUAGAACAUGAAACCGUGAGCCUACAAGCAAUGGGAGCCCUACUUAUAGGGUGACCGUGUGCCUGUUGAAGAAUGAGCCGGCGACUUAUAGGCACUGGCGGGUUAAACCGGAAAUGGUGGAGCCAUAGCGAAAGCGAGUCUGAAUAGGGCGUUUGUCAGUGUUUAUAGACCCGAACCCGGGUGAUCUAACCAUGGCCAGGAUGAAGCUUGGGUGAUACCAAGUGGAGGUCCGAACCGACUGAUGUUGAAAAAUCAGCGGAUGAGCUGUGGUUAGGGGUGAAAUGCCAAUCGAACCCGGAGCUAGCUGGUUCUCCCCGAAAUACGUUGAGGCGUAGCGUCUAGUGCUCCAGCAGGGGGGUAAAGCCACCAUUUCGGUGCGGGCUGCGAGAGCGGUACCUAAUCGAGAUGAACUCUGAAUACCCUGUGUGUAACUAGGCAGUCAGACUGUGGGGGAUAAGCUCCAUAGUCGAAAGGGAAACAGCCCAGACCGCCAGCUAAGGUCCCUAAAUCAACACUAAGUGAUAAAGGAGGUGGGAUUGCACAGACAACCAGGAGGUUUGCCUAGAAGCAGCCAUCCUCAAAGGAGUGCGGAAUAGCUCACUGGUCGAGGGAUCCUGCGCCGAAAAUGAACGGGGCUAAGCGUUGUACCGAAGCUGCGGAUUUUCAUGGUAGGGGAGCGUUCAAUACGGUGCGAAGCGUUAGCGUGAGC